This 366-nucleotide ribosomal RNA is filed under the name Triticum aestivum (bread wheat). RNAcentral describes it as "partial small subunit ribosomal RNA". Lineage: Eukaryota; Viridiplantae; Streptophyta; Magnoliopsida; Poales; Poaceae. The record is from RNAcentral.
AUGAAUCAAAACAGUCGGGAACUUACAAAUGAGGAAGUGCAGCUGGUUUACAUAAGGAGGGAGAAUGCCGGCAGCUGGAAUUCGGGGCUGGAAAGGAGCAAAUAUUAUAGACCUAUUCUGCACAACUCCAAAAGUCCUGAAACUCCACGAAAGUUAUUUUUGGAAAUAAUAAAAAAUACUGAGCGGAAGAAAUACUUGAGGGAGCCCACACCCUGGCCACGAGGGUGGGGGCGCCCCCCUGCCUCGUGGGCCCCCUGUUGGCCCUCCGGUGCCCAUCUUCUGCUAUAUGAAGUCUUUCAUCCAAAGAAAAAUCAUAAGAAAGCUUUCGGGACGAGACUCCGCCGCCACAAGGCGGAACCAAUCUAG